AGAGUUUGAUCCUGGCUCAGGACGAACGCUGGCGGCGUGCCUAAUACAUGCAAGUCGAGCGGACAGAAGGGAGCUUGCUCCUGGAUGUUAGCGGCGGACGGGUGAGUAACACGUGGGUAACCUGCCUGUAAGACUGGGAUAACUCCGGGAAACCGGAGCUAAUACCGGAUAGUUCCUUGAACCGCAUGGUUCAAGGAUGAAAGACGGUUUCGGCUGUCACUUACAGAUGGACCCGCGGCGCAUUAGCUAGUUGGUGGGGUAAUGGCUCACCAAGGCGACGAUGCGUAGCCGACCUGAGAGGGUGAUCGGCCACACUGGGACUGAGACACGGCCCAGACUCCUACGGGAGGCAGCAGUAGGGAAUCUUCCGCAAUGGACGAAAGUCUGACGGAGCAACGCCGCGUGAGUGAUGAAGGUUUUCGGAUCGUAAAGCUCUGUUGUUAGGGAAGAACAAGUGCGAGAGUAACUGCUCGCACCUUGACGGUACCUAACCAGAAAGCCACGGCUAACUACGUGCCAGCAGCCGCGGUAAUACGUAGGUGGCAAGCGUUGUCCGGAAUUAUUGGGCGUAAAGGGCUCGCAGGCGGUUUCUUAAGUCUGAUGUGAAAGCCCCCGGCUCAACCGGGGAGGGUCAUUGGAAACUGGGAAACUUGAGUGCAGAAGAGGAGAGUGGAAUUCCACGUGUAGCGGUGAAAUGCGUAGAGAUGUGGAGGAACACCAGUGGCGAAGGCGACUCUCUGGUCUGUAACUGACGCUGAGGAGCGAAAGCGUGGGGAGCGAACAGGAUUAGAUACCCUGGUAGUCCACGCCGUAAACGAUGAGUGCUAAGUGUUAGGGGGUUUCCGCCCCUUAGUGCUGCAGCUAACGCAUUAAGCACUCCGCCUGGGGAGUACGGUCGCAAGACUGAAACUCAAAGGAAUUGACGGGGGCCCGCACAAGCGGUGGAGCAUGUGGUUUAAUUCGAAGCAACGCGAAGAACCUUACCAGGUCUUGACAUCCUCUGACAACCCUAGAGAUAGGGCUUUCCCUUCGGGGACAGAGUGACAGGUGGUGCAUGGUUGUCGUCAGCUCGUGUCGUGAGAUGUUGGGUUAAGUCCCGCAACGAGCGCAACCCUUGAUCUUAGUUGCCAGCAUUCAGUUGGGCACUCUAAGGUGACUGCCGGUGACAAACCGGAGGAAGGUGGGGAUGACGUCAAAUCAUCAUGCCCCUUAUGACCUGGGCUACACACGUGCUACAAUGGACAGAACAAAGGGCUGCAAGACCGCAAGGUUUAGCCAAUCCCAUAAAUCUGUUCUCAGUUCGGAUCGCAGUCUGCAACUCGACUGCGUGAAGCUGGAAUCGCUAGUAAUCGCGGAUCAGCAUGCCGCGGUGAAUACGUUCCCGGGCCUUGUACACACCGCCCGUCACACCACGAGAGUUUGCAACACCCGAAGUCGGUGAGGUAACCUUUAUGGAGCCAGCCGCCGAAGGUGGGGCAGAUGAUUGGGGUGAAGUCGUAACAAGGUAACCAA
This 1512-nucleotide ribosomal RNA is filed under the name Bacillus sp. 39. Its description in RNAcentral is "bacterial SSU rRNA". It matches the Rfam family "Bacterial small subunit ribosomal RNA". Lineage: Bacteria; Bacillati; Bacillota; Bacilli; Caryophanales; Bacillaceae. The record is from RNAcentral.